CACAUUUAGUGGGAAAGAGAGCUAUGGGAAUUAAAUUUGGCCAUACUUUGGACUUAAAUACUGAAUGAAUGAAUGAAUGAAUGAAUGAAUACAAAGCAGACCAUGAUAAGAACUAGGAGAAAGAAUGAAGAGGUGGAGUGUGUUACUCUUGGGGCUGGAAUGAGCAUGGCAUGUGCGGAGAUGGCACUGAAGCCAACGUCUGGGCCCCAAAGCCGGUGCAGGCUCUGCUGUCAUCGUCAGGACUCCUUGUGGGCUGUGGGGCUGGCCACUCCUUGGCCCUCUGCCAGCUGCCAGCUCACCCUGCAUUGGUCCAGGACCCCAAGGUCACCUACCUUUCCCCAGAUGCCAUCGAGGACACUGAAUCUCAGAAAGCCAUGGACAAAGAGAGAAACUGGAAGGAAAGACAAUCAGAAACUUCAACCCAAAGCCAAUCUGACUGGUCCAGAAAUGGGGGACUGUGAUAGAGAAUCUUUAAUAAAGUGGCUUUUCCCACC
RNAcentral lists this long non-coding RNA (494 nucleotides) under Homo sapiens (human). Its description in RNAcentral is "non-protein coding lnc-SERGEF-1:11". Lineage: Eukaryota; Metazoa; Chordata; Mammalia; Primates; Hominidae. The record is from RNAcentral.